Long non-coding RNA from Dermochelys coriacea (leatherback sea turtle), 1028 nucleotides. RefSeq lists it as uncharacterized. The transcript is spliced from 3 exons. The record is from RefSeq and is a predicted model, not a curated record. NCBI's taxonomy places the organism in Eukaryota, Metazoa, Chordata, Testudines, Dermochelyidae.
CUGAGCUCAGUGUGAUCAAGAAGCUCAAGGAAAGGACACCUCUGUUCUUCCCUGGCCUUGUGGGAAGGGGCUGAAGAAUCAACACUUGAAGAACAAAGGAAGCAGCGUUGGACUCGGGAGUGAUCCUGACUGAAAGAUUCAGCCAGUAAGACUGUUGGAACUUGUGACAGGUAAACAUGUUCUGCUUGCUGAAGAUGCAAGAAGAAAAAGCACAGCACCAAUAUGAGACUUUCACAAUCUGUGGACAGAAGGAUCAGGACCAGGGGACAAUUCUGGUAUGAAGGGGGUUGGGGAGCAGUCUAUGAUCCACACAGGUUAACUUUCUUCCCGUAUUCAUGGGUCUACUGCAAGAUGUUCUAUAAAUUAUAGGUUUACACAUUAUAAAUGACAAAUCCAAUUACCGCUAAAGCAGGACGGCUCUUUCCAGCACCAGUCAGGCAACUAGAAAUUCAACAGAUGACCCACCACGUGUGUGCACACUAGGGAUUCUGCCGUAUCAGCUGCACACAUAUUUUGAUCACCUCUCAGCCGAGAGAAGUAAAGUGGUGGGGUUGUGACACUUUCAACGGUAGACCUUAUGUUAGUGUGUUUGCCUUUCCGGUUGUCCAUUGUGCACUUACUGUCAAAGAAGUUUGCUUUACACAAACACUCUCUGAAUAGACUUUAAAAUCCUUUCGUACACACACACGCACACCUCACAACUCUUUCUCCAAGUUCCUGGAGCCUGUCUCUCCCCCAGACAGGCGCCUGUAAUUGAUUAAAGAAAUUCCCGUCAGAAAAGAUCCGUCCUAGCUUUCUUCGCUUCCAAAGCAGAGCCGAUCUGUUGUGUUAACGAUCCCUGUGAAAUAAAAGUUGCUUUCCUCGACCCCCGGCUGUGACUUGCAAUCCCCCCUCGGCGGCUGGGUGCGGGCCGAGCCGAGGGGGCUCUGGAUGGGCACCUCGCUAGGUUCUGACCGCCCUGGAAAGGACUGGCGGGGCGGGGGGGCAGCCAGGAGCGAAUGCGGGACCGCACGGUACUCACCAUCCUC